Molecule: small RNA, 63 nt
Filed under: Euglena gracilis
Lineage: Eukaryota; Euglenozoa; Euglenophyceae; Euglenales; Euglenaceae
Description: Eg-p-Orphan8 AGAUGN box-like small RNA
Source: RNAcentral
CUGCCCUGCCCGUAGUAUACCUUGUGCUCGCUGCGCUUGGUAAGCAAAUGCAGGGCAAGAUAU